AAAAGUGGGAAAUAAUAAUGCAGUCUACCUGGAGCAACUGCAUGUGUUAACACACUUUAGCAUGGUACCACUAUGUCCACACACCGUAGACUAUGUCUUUGGCUAAACCACAGGAUGUCGCUAGCAAAAAUCCUGAGUGCUGACCAUUUUCAGUAUCUUUAGCACAUAUGGUAUCAGUCACACCUGAGAAUAUCCCACUGUGUUCUACUUGCUGCUUUGAGAACCCCAGUGCUGUCUUCUUUCUUAAUUGUAGACCAAUGUGUUGAUGACUCACCUCAGGUUUGUGUAUUGCAUUGUUUUAAAAUAUUUCUCUUUGUGCCUCAAAUUUAGAAGGGAACUCAAGACAGCAGUGAGGAAACAAGAAAUAGGAGAAAAUAUUUGUUUGCAUUUGGCAAAAGAGAAGCCGAAAAAGAGCCUGGGCUGUUGCACUUUACAACUUUGCUCCCUUCCUCCACCCCUCGAAUUGGGGUUCAUUUAUAACAGGGAAGCAGCUUGACAAGAAGCAAAUAUGACUUAUCUGUAAUAUUUUAUUUAUUUUAAAAAAGAAAGAAAGACUAGAACCAAAUCUGACUAAACUUAAAACUUACUAAUUUUGCAUGGUAGAAAGAUGAAUGUUUGUCAUGUGGGUCUUUAUUCCCUUCUAUGUUUAAAAUGUAUCUUUAAAAAAAGGUUCUAAAGGAAAAAGAAGAACAGAAGAUUCAAAACAUUUGAUCAGAACAUUUGGUACCAGCCCUUGCAUUACCAUGUCAGUCUAUGUGUCCCUGAGCAAGUUAUUGAAGUUCUCUAAGCCUUGUGAUCAUAAGACCUGUCUUUUAGGAUGUGGUUAAUAUUAAAUCAGAAUAUGUAUGCAGAACACCCAGCAUUGGACCUAGAUUCAUAUGUUCUUAAUUCAUGGUGGCCACUAUGGCUACUUUCUGAUUUCCCAAAAUGUGUCUGCUACAGUUUUAAAUGUAUAUUCUCUCCGAAAUUCCUGUUGUAACUUAAUCCCCACUGUGGUGGUGUAUUAGUCUGUCCUUAUACUGCUAAUAAAGACAUACCCAAGAUUGGGUAAUU
This 1053-nucleotide long non-coding RNA is filed under the name Homo sapiens (human). RNAcentral's name for it is "non-protein coding lnc-SPATA18-4:1". The record is from RNAcentral. Lineage: Eukaryota; Metazoa; Chordata; Mammalia; Primates; Hominidae.